GGUUUUGCAUGAAGCAGCAGAACAUGAUGAAGCAUUUUUCCCCCAUCUAAAGAUCCAGUCGUGCUCCAGUUUGCAGAGGGCAAGGGGCUGGUUGCAGGUGGUGCUGGGAGGAUGGAGUAGAGAUGGGGUUUCACCGUGUUAACCAGGAAUGUCUCGAUCUCCUGACCUCGUGAUCCACCCGCCUCAGCCUCCCAAAGUGUUGGGAUUACAGGCGUGAGCUACCACGCCCGGCCCUAGGCUCCACAACUCUAAGAAGCUUUGGUGAGUAAACAGGCCUGAAGAGGUGAAAUCAUUUGCCAAGCACAGAACCAGGAUUCAAAACUUUGCAGUCUGGCUCUAGAAUGCCACCCCGUCCCACCUCAGGACUGGCCCUCUCCUGGGAAUUCCUUUCUCCCUCAUCCUCCAUGUCCUUUCUCUGUGGAGCCGUGUGCCCUGCCCAUAUCUAAGUACAUGUCCUGGGAUCCAGGGGAUGACAUAUACUGGAGUCCCUGGUGCCCAUGCCUUCUGACUCCUCCUAGACCAUGAGCUGAGGGGACAGAGAGUGGCUCUUGCACCUGGGGGGCUCAGGGUGUGUACAGUGGGUGAACAAAUGGGGGGACAUUUGAGGCCCAGGCAGAAGGACACAG
This 626-nucleotide long non-coding RNA is filed under the name Homo sapiens (human). Its description in RNAcentral is "non-protein coding RFPL1S:24". The record is from RNAcentral. Lineage: Eukaryota; Metazoa; Chordata; Mammalia; Primates; Hominidae.